Molecule: ribosomal RNA, 1167 nt
Filed under: Acinetobacter junii
Lineage: Bacteria; Pseudomonadati; Pseudomonadota; Gammaproteobacteria; Moraxellales; Moraxellaceae
Description: bacterial SSU rRNA
Rfam family: Bacterial small subunit ribosomal RNA
Source: RNAcentral
GCUUGCACCUUAGCUUAGCGGCGGACGGGUGAGUAAUGCUUAGGAAUCUGCCUAUUAGUGGGGGACAACAUUCCGAAAGGGAUGCUAAUACCGCAUACGCCCUACGGGGGAAAGCAGGGGAUCUUCGGACCUUGCGCUAAUAGAUGAGCCUAAGUCGGAUUAGCUAGUUGGUGGGGUAAAGGCCUACCAAGGCGACGAUCUGUAGCGGGUCUGAGAGGAUGAUCCGCCACACUGGGACUGAGACACGGCCCAGACUCCUACGGGAGGCAGCAGUGGGGAAUAUUGGACAAUGGGGGGAACCCUGAUCCAGCCAUGCCGCGUGUGUGAAGAAGGCCUUUUGGUUGUAAAGCACUUUAAGCGAGGAGGAGGCGCUCUAGGAUAAUACCCUAGAUGCGUGGACGUUACUCGCAGAAUAAGCACCGGCUAACUCUGUGCCAGCAGCCGCGGUAAUACAGAGGGUGCGAGCGUUAAUCGGAUUUACUGGGCGUAAAGCGCGCGUAGGUGGCUAAUUAAGUCAAAUGUGAAAUCCCCGAGCUUAACUUGGGAAUUGCAUUCGAUACUGGUUAGCUAGAGUAUGGGAGAGGAUGGUAGAAUUCCAGGUGUAGCGGUGAAAUGCGUAGAGAUCUGGAGGAAUACCGAUGGCGAAGGCAGCCAUCUGGCCUAAUACUGACACUGAGGUGCGAAAGCAUGGGGAGCAAACAGGAUUAGAUACCCUGGUAGUCCAUGCCGUAAACGAUGUCUACUAGCCGUUGGGGCCUUUGAGGCUUUAGUGGCGCAGCUAACGCGAUAAGUAGACCGCCUGGGGAGUACGGUCGCAAGACUAAAACUCAAAUGAAUUGACGGGGGCCCGCACAAGCGGUGGAGCAUGUGGUUUAAUUCGAUGCAACGCGAAGAACCUUACCUGGCCUUGACAUACAGAGAACUUUCCAGAGAUGGAUUGGUGCCUUCGGGAACUCUGAUACAGGUGCUGCAUGGCUGUCGUCAGCUCGUGUCGUGAGAUGUUGGGUUAAGUCCCGCAACGAGCGCAACCCUUUUCCUUACUUGCCAGCAUUUCGGAUGGGAACUUUAAGGAUACUGCCAGUGACAAACUGGAGGAAGGCGGGGACGACGUCAAGUCAUCAUGGCCCUUACGGCCAGGGCUACCCACGUGCUACAAUGGUCGGUACA